RNAcentral lists this ribosomal RNA (253 nucleotides) under uncultured bacterium. RNAcentral's name for it is "partial 16S ribosomal RNA". It matches the Rfam family "Bacterial small subunit ribosomal RNA", at positions 524 to 776 of the family's 1533-position model. The record is from RNAcentral.
UACAGAGGUCCCGAGCGUUGUUCGGAUUCAUUGGGCGUAAAGGGUGUGUAGGAGGCUAGGUAAGUCGGGUGUGAAAUCCCACCGCUUAACGGUGGAAUGGCAUUCGAUACUGCCAAGCUAGAGGAUUGGAGGGGGAAGCGGAAUUCUUGGUGUAGCAGUGAAAUGCGUAGAUAUCAAGAGGAACACCGGUGGCGUAGGCGGCUUCCUGGAAAAUUCCUGACUCUGAAACACGAAAGCUAGGGGAGCAAACGGG